This 72-nucleotide transfer RNA is filed under the name bacterium. RNAcentral describes it as "tRNA-Glu". It matches the Rfam family "tRNA". From Rfam's summary of the family: Transfer RNA (tRNA) molecules are approximately 80 nucleotides in length. Their secondary structure includes four short double-helical elements and three loops (D, anti-codon, and T loops). RNAcentral also lists the same sequence under 1 other name. The record is from RNAcentral.
GGCCCUAUCGUCUAGUGGUUAGGACGGCGCGCUUUCAAUGCGUAAACACGGGUUCGAUUCCCGUUAGGGCUA